RNAcentral lists this ribosomal RNA (492 nucleotides) under uncultured bacterium. Its description in RNAcentral is "partial 16S ribosomal RNA". It matches the Rfam family "Bacterial small subunit ribosomal RNA", at positions 28 to 507 of the family's 1533-position model. The record is from RNAcentral.
GAUGAACGCUAGCUACAGGCUUAACACAUGCAAGUCGAGGGGCAGCGGUAUCGAAAGCUUGCUUUCGGUAGCCGGCGACCGGCGCACGGGUGAGUAACGCGUAUCGAACCUGCCUCAUACUCGGGAAUAGCCUUGCGAAAGUAAGAUUAAUGCCCGGUGUUUUCAGAGUCCCGCAUGAGGCUUUGAACAAAGAUUUAUCGGUAUGAGAUGGCGAUGCGUCCCAUUAGCUUGUUGGCGGGGUAACGGCCCACCAAGGCAUCGAUGGGUAGGGGUUCUGAGAGGAAGGUCCACCACAUUGGAACUGAGACACGGUCCAAACUCCUACGGGAGGCAGCAGUGAGGAAUAUUGGUCAAUGGGCGGAAGCCUGAACCAGCCAAGUAGCGUGCAGGAAGACGGCCCUCCGGGUUGUAAACUGCUUUUAGUUGGGAAUAAAACGGGGCUCGUGAGCCCCCUUGCAUGUACCAUCAGAAAAAGGACCGGCUAAUUCCGUG